GUGACCCUACGGGGGGCAGCAGUGAGGAAUAUUGGUCAAUGGUCGGGAGACUGAACCAGCCAAGCCGCGUGAGGGAUGAAGGUACAGAGUAUCGUAAACCUCUUUUGUCAGGGAACAAAGGCGGGGACGCGUCCCCGGAUGAGUGUACCUGAAGAAAAAGCAUCGGCUAACUCCGUGCCAGCAGCCGCGGUAAUACGGAGGAUGCGAGCGUUAUCCGGAUUUAUUGGGUUUAAAGGGUGCGCAGGCGGGAGAUCAAGUCCGCGGUAAAAUUUCGGGGGUCAAACCCGGCCGGCCGUUGAAAAUGG
This 305-nucleotide ribosomal RNA is filed under the name uncultured bacterium. Its description in RNAcentral is "bacterial SSU rRNA". It matches the Rfam family "Bacterial small subunit ribosomal RNA", at positions 333 to 636 of the family's 1533-position model. The record is from RNAcentral.